Long non-coding RNA from Felis catus (domestic cat), 2253 nucleotides. RefSeq lists it as uncharacterized. NCBI's taxonomy places the organism in Eukaryota, Metazoa, Chordata, Mammalia, Carnivora, Felidae. The record is from RefSeq and is a predicted model, not a curated record. The transcript is spliced from 3 exons.
ACAUUGAAAUUUUUUUUUCAAAAAGGGAGAUGGAUGGUCAAGUGAUUCCUGCUGGUACCGCUCAGCUGUGCUGAAGCCGGUGCCUGACACUCGGCAGGGACUCAGUAAAUACCUACGGAAAGAGGGGGAAGGAAGGAAAACAACCCUGGACAGAACACUGAUGUCAAAAUAUAAAAGAGUCUCUGUCUGGACCAUUGGAAUAUUUGAGAAGACAGCCCUUUCUGGUCCCAGGAGAUAGGGUAGGCAGAACAAUGAUCCUCCAAAGAUAACCAUGUCCUGAGCUCUGGACCCUAUGAAUAUGUUACCUUACAUGGCAAAAGGGACUUUGCAGAUGUGAUUACGUUAAGGGUUUUGAGGUGACAGAAUUCCCUGGAUGAUCUAGAUGGGCCCAGUCUCAUCACAACGGUCCUUAUUAGGAACAGAGGGAGCAGAAGAUUCGGAGGGAGAGAAGGAGAGGUGAUCACAGAAGCAGAGGUCAGAGAGAAGGAGGCUGAAGCCCUUCUGGAUUUGAAGAUGGAGGACGGGCCACAAGCCAAAGGGUGAAGGUGACCCCUGGACGCUGGAAAAUGCAAUGGGGCAAAUCUCCCCUAGAGCCUCCGGAAGAUACUCUGACCCCAGGAACUGUAAGGUAAUGCACCCCUGUUACUUCUGCCACAAAGCUCAUGAUUAUUUGUUACAGCAACAAUAGAAAUUAGAUUUCUAUCUUGCCUGCCAGGAGCCGAUGGAGCCAUUUUUGUGAUUUUACAACAUUGUUCUUUGACGUAGUUUUCUUCUAUGUAAUUAUUUUUGUAAACUUCAGAAGGUUAGUUGAGGUUCAUCAUACAGCUCAUCACAAUAAAAUUCCCAUCUUCUGCUUGUUUCCUGCCCAUCCAAAGCCUAGAUUCUAGAUUCAGACUGAAACUGUACUUUUGACAUUUCUUAUAUAAUAAUAAAUGACAGCUGUCUACCAUGGACAGCUUUGUUUUGACUUCAUUUUUUAGCACCCCUAGAAAGCAUUUUUCCUUUUCUACCAGUGUGUGAGGAGAUACCUACAUAUCCCCUGUAAAGACCUAUUAUUUAAUGUUAAAAAUCACUCACUUAGCACUAACCAUGUGCCAAACACUGUUUCAUAGGCAGAAAAUGCAGCAAUUAAUAAACUACAGAUACGUGCAUUUACACAGAUAAGCACUGGACAGAAAAAAGACCAAGGGGUCCAAAGAAAUACACAGUGGUACCUGUAAAUGUGCAAAGACAUUGGAAGGCUGGUCUUUACCGGGAAGGCUUUCACAAAGAAGAUAAAACUUCAUGUGGGCCCUCAUUUAUUCAGAUUUUUCUCAAGUUCAGGAAAACAUUAUGAGUAAGGAGUUGUGGUCAUUUAGGUACAAGGCAUAUUUUAGAAAUGACAUGGGGUCAUGAGAUGGUUAAAACACCGUGUGUGUAUGUGUGUGUGUGUGUGUGUGUGUGUGUGUGUGUGUUGAGAUCGGGGAGGGACCCAGCGCAAGAGCAGAACAUAUGAAAUACAUAAGAAAGGGUAGGAUAAAUUCUACUCUUAGUCUUAAAAGUCACAAUAAACAAUGCAGACCUCACUUUGUACAGAAUGAAAUUAAACAUUAGGGAACACUGAUGGCACACUGUUCUUCAGAUUUGUGUGAACUGAGAGCCUGACCUUGGAUGUUUCAAAGUACAGCAGUGCUAGCAGGGGAUGGCAGUUAAGUUCAGAAUUGAGACGAGAAACGUCGGUCAUCUUCUGUAUCGCCACAAUCACUCCUGCCAGGGCUGGGCAUGCACAGGUUCCAGCAUUCCCAAAGCCAGCCGCUGGAAAAGACUUCUGCUCCCAGUGCAAUCCCAUUUAGUUCUGGUGAUCCUUCCUGGAGUCACCGUCAGAGAGGUGUCAGACUGGAAGGGGAUCCUUGAGAUGACUGUUUACUCAGCCUGGGCUGUUUUUUCAAGGACCUGCCUAACAAGACAGGAGUAGCUGUAGCUCCUACUAGGUGUCCCUUCCUGGGUGUGUGAUGCAAAACAACAACUCCAGAUAUCAGGUCACAGAGAUCCAUUACCUCAUGAGGCAGAAUGAAAGCACACGAUACGGAGGAGAUGUGCAGAAAAAGUGGACACAGCACAGGAGGAAAGAGAGAAGAUACCGAAGACUGGCUAGUUCAUCUAGUUCAUAAGUUUUCCCAACAUCAGAGCUUAGGAAAUGUUUUUUUUUUUUUAAUUUUUUUUUUCUUCAACGUUUUUUAUUUAUUUUUGGGACAGAGAGAGACAGAGCAUGAA